CCUCUUCAACCAACUGCGGGCAAAUAAAAUGCACAUGGGCAUCGAUGGCGCCGGCGGUCAGGAUAUGGCCCUCACCGGCGAUGACCUCGGUACCCGGGCCAAUCACGAUCUCGACACCGGGCUGGGUGUCCGGGUUACCAGCCUUGCCAAUAGCCGCGAUGCGACCAGCCUUCACGCCCACAUCUGCCUUGACGAUGCCCCACCAAUCGAGGAUCAGGGCGUUGGUGAUCACCGUGUCCAUGACCUCGGCAUCAUGGCGCUGGCUCUGGCCCAUGCCAUCACG
Molecule: small RNA, 283 nt
Filed under: Halomonas huangheensis
Lineage: Bacteria; Pseudomonadati; Pseudomonadota; Gammaproteobacteria; Oceanospirillales; Halomonadaceae
Description: 5' ureB small RNA
Rfam family: 5' ureB small RNA
Source: Rfam by way of RNAcentral